Long non-coding RNA from Lycium ferocissimum, 578 nucleotides. RefSeq lists it as uncharacterized. The record is from RefSeq and is a predicted model, not a curated record. The transcript has 2 exons. NCBI's taxonomy places the organism in Eukaryota, Viridiplantae, Streptophyta, Magnoliopsida, Solanales, Solanaceae.
GAAAUCUACAUGGUGUAGCUAACAUUAGACCUUAUUUUUAUCUAGUAGCUAUACUUUAAUUAAUUUACACCUCAUAGCUAAAAGGGGUAUAUCAAUUACACUCCAUAACUAAAACAUACAAAAUAGAUUAAAAUGAAAAAGCAACCCUUGUAUCCACAUUUUUCUCUCUCCUCCCUCCCUUCUCCCUCCCUUCUGCUCUCUCUUCCAUGAAAAAUGUUCAAUGUUCUUCAAGUCCACUAUGUCUUUUCCGAUGCAGAUGGACCUCCCACUACGCUUAGCGAAACUGACAUUGACCGUAUGGCAUUUUUACAAGCUAACAUCACACGAGAUAACACCAAGUUCAUAAAUGGGACAAUAGUUGGUGAGAGGAAUGUUUUCCAGGUGAGAUUAGCUUUUGUUUUCCUUUGGUCUUCUCUCAUUGAGUUUCUUUCGCAAAUCGAUGCCGGACUUGCAAAUCUCAUUCAUCAGAUCUGGCCGCCGGUGGCUUUCCCGGUCAGAUUCCGAUGCCGGAUUUGAAAAAUCGUGCAACGACGUAGAUACAAAAAUCAACGAACACACAGAUCUGAGCUUUUUAUUUU